GACGAACGCUGGCGGCGUGCUUAACACAUGCAAGUCGAACGGUGAAGGGACCAGCUUGCUGGUUCUGGAUGAGUGGCGAACGGGUGAGUAACACGUGAGUAACCUGCCCCCUUCUUCUGGAUAACCGCAUGAAAGUGUGGCUAAUACGGGAUAUUCUGGGUCUGUCGCAUGGCGGGCCCGGGAAAGAUAUUGCUUCGGUGGGGGAUGGGCUCGCGGCCUAUCAGCUUGUUGGUGGGGUGAUGGCCUACCAAGGCGGUGACGGGUAGCCGGCCUGAGAGGGGGGACGGUCACACUGGGACUGAGACACGGCCCAGACUCCUACGGGAGGCAGCAGUGGGGAAUAUUGCACAAUGGGCGCAAGCCUGAUGCAGCGACGCCGCGUGAGGGAUGGAGGCCUUCGGGGUGUAAACCUCUUUCGCCAGUGAAGCAGGCCUGCUCCUUGUGGGUGGGUUGACGGUAGCUGGAGAAGAAGCGCCGGCUAACUACGUG
RNAcentral lists this ribosomal RNA (489 nucleotides) under uncultured bacterium. RNAcentral describes it as "partial 16S ribosomal RNA". It matches the Rfam family "Bacterial small subunit ribosomal RNA", at positions 28 to 507 of the family's 1533-position model. The record is from RNAcentral.